CUUCUGCCUUUGUGUGCUUUCUCUCUCUCCUGCUUCCAAGUCAAGAUGUGCUGGCUUCUCCUUUGCCCUUCUGUCAUUAUUGUGAUCAUUCCACUCUUCUGCUAAUGUCAUGUUCUGGUUCAGGGAGUCCUCCAGGGAUGGCCAUACCUUUCUCUCCAAGAGCUUUGGCGAACUCUACUCCAAUCUGAACAGGUUACUCAAUGUGAAGAUGACAACAAGGGUGAAGACUUUAAUGAUGAUCCACUUCCACUUAAAAAAUAAUAAAUAUAUUUUCU
This 275-nucleotide long non-coding RNA is filed under the name Homo sapiens (human). RNAcentral's name for it is "HSALNT0394042". The record is from RNAcentral. Lineage: Eukaryota; Metazoa; Chordata; Mammalia; Primates; Hominidae.